RNAcentral lists this ribosomal RNA (251 nucleotides) under Pelagomonas calceolata. RNAcentral describes it as "partial Bacterial large subunit ribosomal RNA". It matches the Rfam family "Bacterial large subunit ribosomal RNA", at positions 2540 to 2790 of the family's 2925-position model. Lineage: Eukaryota; Pelagophyceae; Pelagomonadales; Pelagomonadaceae. The record is from RNAcentral.
UCACAUCCUGGAGCUGAAGCAGGUUCCAAGGGUUAGGUUGUUCGCCUAUUAAAGUGGCACUUGAGCUGGGUUCAGAACGCCGUGAGGCAGUUUGGUCCCUAUCUACUGUGAGCGUUAGAAAAUUGAAGAAAUUAAACCCUAGUACGAGAGGACCGGGAAACGUAAACCUCUGGUGUAGCGAUUGUUUUUAAAAAAGCAUCGUCGCGUAGCUACGUUUAUACUAGAUAAUCGCUGAAAGCAUCUAAGUGAGA